Molecule: ribosomal RNA, 500 nt
Filed under: uncultured bacterium
Lineage: Bacteria
Description: partial 16S ribosomal RNA
Rfam family: Bacterial small subunit ribosomal RNA
Source: RNAcentral
AUUGAACGCUGGCGGAAUGCUUUACACAUGCAAGUCGAACGGCAGCACGGACUUCGGUCUGGUGGCGAGUGGCGAACGGGUGAGUAAUGUAUCGGAACGUGCCCAGCCGUGGGGGAUAACGUAGUGAAAAUUACGCUAAUACCGCAUCCGAUCUAUGGAUGAAAGCGGGGGAUCGCAACACCUCGCGCGAUGGUAGCGGCCGAUAUCAGAUUAGGUAGUUGGUGGGGUAAAGGCCCACCAAGCCAACGAUCUGUAGCUGGUCUGAGAGGACGACCAGCCACACUGGAACUGAGACACGGUCCAGACUCCUACGGGAGGCAGCAGUGGGGAAUUUUGGACAAUGGGCGAAAGCCUGAUCCAGCCAUUCCGCGUGCAGGAUGAAGGCCCUCGGGUUGUAAACUGCUUUUGUACAGAACGAAAAGGUUUCUACUAAUACUAGGAGCUCAUGACGGUACUGUAAGAAUAAGCACCGGCUAACUACGUGCCAGCCGCCGCCGUAA